This 159-nucleotide transfer-messenger RNA is filed under the name Armatimonadota bacterium. RNAcentral's name for it is "partial transfer-messenger RNA". It matches the Rfam family "transfer-messenger RNA", at positions 1 to 182 of the family's 374-position model. From Rfam's summary of the family: Bacterial tmRNA, also known as 10Sa RNA or SsrA, is named for its dual tRNA and mRNA-like properties. Lineage: Bacteria; Bacillati; Armatimonadota. The record is from RNAcentral.
GGGGGCGAACGGUCUCGACUGGGUGGGAAGCAGCGGGGCUGCGAGCCGAGGUGGCCAGGUCCUCGCUAAUCAACUGGCAGGCGCAUAAACGCCAACAACCAGUACGCUCUCGCCGCUUAGAUAGCGACGACGCUCUCCCGGUAGGGCCGGCGGCCCGGG